Molecule: small nuclear RNA, 103 nt
Filed under: Capra hircus (goat)
Lineage: Eukaryota; Metazoa; Chordata; Mammalia; Artiodactyla; Bovidae
Source: RNAcentral
UUGCUUUGGCAGCAAAUAUACAAAAAUUAGAAUGAUACAGAUAAGAUGAGCAUGGUCCCUGCACAAGGAUGACACACAAAUUUGUGAAGCAUUCCAUAUUUUU